Molecule: non-coding RNA, 69 nt
Filed under: Legionella shakespearei DSM 23087
Lineage: Bacteria; Pseudomonadati; Pseudomonadota; Gammaproteobacteria; Legionellales; Legionellaceae
Description: Legionella RNA 69
Rfam family: Legionella RNA 69
Source: Rfam by way of RNAcentral
AGACGAGGCUAGCGCCUCUCUCAGCCCGAACGGAUCCAGGUAAAUCAAUCUUCUUAUCCCGAACUCACG